UGGGGAAUUUUGCGCAAUGGGCGAAAGCCUGACGCAGCAACGCCGCGUGAGUGAAGAAGGCCCUUGGGUUGUAAAGCUCUUUCGGCUGGGAAGAAGGGCCUGCCUGUGAACAAUUGGCAGGUUUGACUGUACCAGAAGAAGAAGUACCGGCUAACUACGUGCCAGCAGCCGCGGUAAUACGUAGGGUACGAGCGUUGUUCGGAAUCACUGGGCGUAAAGGGCGCGUAGGCGGGCGUGAAAGUCGAUUGUGAAAGCCCUAGGCUCAACCUGGGAACUGCAGUCGAUACUCCACGUCUUGAGUGCUUGAGAGGAUGGUGGAAUUCCUGGUGUAGAAGUGAAAUUCGUAGAUAUCAGGAGGAACACCGGAGGCGAAGGCGGCCAUCUGGCAAGACACUGACGCUGAGGCGCGAAAGUGCGGGGAGCAAACAGG
RNAcentral lists this ribosomal RNA (430 nucleotides) under uncultured bacterium. RNAcentral's name for it is "bacterial SSU rRNA". It matches the Rfam family "Bacterial small subunit ribosomal RNA", at positions 355 to 776 of the family's 1533-position model. The record is from RNAcentral.